Molecule: long non-coding RNA, 1396 nt
Organism: Exaiptasia diaphana
Lineage: Eukaryota; Metazoa; Cnidaria; Anthozoa; Actiniaria; Aiptasiidae
Exons: 3
Source: RefSeq, a predicted model, not a curated record
GGUGCAUCAACAAAUGUCUCAGACAGCCAUACUGCAUAAUUGACGCUAUUUGUGCAACCAGAGAUGCCCCAACUACUUUUGGGAUGUUUUUCUCCAUUUCUAGUGUAACAUCUGCAAUCAGAGAGAUUUCCUUUGCUGCAAGAUUGACUAACUGCAUGGACAACUCCAGCAGAUGUGAUGGCAUGAACAAAAGCAGCUUCUUUACUGCCUAGGAAAACAGAAUUCGAAACAGCAAUUAAUUGAAGUCUUACUCACUCCAACCACUGAUGGURAACUACUUACCAGUACUUAAGACUUGUCCGAACACCGUGGGGUCUUUAUCUGAAGUUGUACAGUUCCAUCUUUCGAAUAGAAAUUGUUGCUUACAUUCCUGGAUUCCUAUCUCUGCGCCUUGGCUAACACUAGGAAUAACACCUGGUUUCAUCAUGCACAACCUAAGUUGCUGCGGCGAAAGGCCCGUGACACUUCUGCAUUGACUUGGAACAACUGAGUCUGUCCUAAUUCCUGAUGAAGCAACUCCCAUCCACCUUGAACAAUCAUAGCGCACAAGAUGUAAAAAUAAAUAAACAAGAUUACAAAAAGAAAUAUGUCAUGGAAGUUGCUCAUACUCCAAUCUACUUACAGCCAGGACGCUUCUGAAUGGGUUAAGAAUAGAAGCAAAGCCACUAUGCUCCUGUACAUCAUCUUCAAGUUCUCCAGUUGACAGAAACAUAAACAGGGUGACACCACAUAGUCCUUUGCCACCUGGAUUGGUACGAAUUUGCAAGGAUCUAAAACAGGUCCGCACUUCCUUCCACACCCUCUGACGGGGGUAACAUACCACCCACGAACGAAGUCAACAACUACAUCAUGACCCAACGCGAGUACUGAAUACGACAAAUAACUGGCCGGUAAGCAAUCAAUGGGAAACAGCCAGGCAAAGAGAACUAUUUGAUGUCUUUUAACUGUUUUUAUUCAAAGGAGGCCGCCYACGAUCACGUGUACCACGUCGGUAAUUAAGCAAUACCGAUUUGUUUGCUGAACAAGGAAAUAAUAAAUUCAGGCUUAAUUUGGUGAACACAGCCCUUUGUACAGGGUAAUUAACCGGCAUUUUUUCAGCAYAAACGAAUCAACGUAAUUUCAUUGUAGACUGUACUAUAUCAGAGUUGUAAGUUACGACUGGAUUUGACCUUAUUUUUAAUUUAAACAUUUACCAGUAAAGCGAAUUGAAUGAUACCUCCAAGUACUUCGUAAAAAUACAAAUUGUAUAAAACGAGACUCCUUUGUCUAGCCAGAGGAAUGUUUAAUAAACUUUUGUAAUUAAAACGCGAGUUACAUGAUAGACCGUUUUGGAAUGUUUAAUAAACUUUAGCUGAGUGAGCAGAAAGUGAUCCGUUUUUCGACAGCUAUGGAAUUU